This 496-nucleotide ribosomal RNA is filed under the name uncultured bacterium. RNAcentral describes it as "partial 16S ribosomal RNA". It matches the Rfam family "Bacterial small subunit ribosomal RNA", at positions 29 to 507 of the family's 1533-position model. The record is from RNAcentral.
AUGAACGCUGGCGGCGUGCCUAAUACCUGCAAGUCGAGCGAACGGACGAGAAGCUUGCUUCUCUGAUGUUAGCGGCGGACGGGUGAGUAACACGUGGAUAACCUACCUAUAAGACUGGGAUAACUUCGGGAAACCGGAGCUAAUACCGGAUGAUAUUUUGAACCGCAUGGUUCAAAAGUGAAAGACGGUCUUGCUGUCACUUAUAGAUGGAUCCGCGCUGCAUUAGCUAGUUGGUAAGGUAACGGCUUACCAAGGCAACGAUGCAUAGCCGACCUGAGAGGGUGAUCGGCCACACUGGAACUGAGACACGGUCCAGACUCCUACGGGAGGCAGCAGUAGGGAAUCUUCCGCAAAGGGCGAAAGCCUGACGGAGCAACGCCGCGUGAGUGAUGAAGGUCUUCGGAUCGUAAAACUCUGUUAUUAGGGAAGAACAUAUGUGUAAGUAACUGUGCACAUCUUGACGGUACCUAAUCAGAAAGCCACGGCUAACUACGUG